This 252-nucleotide ribosomal RNA is filed under the name uncultured bacterium. Its description in RNAcentral is "partial 16S ribosomal RNA". It matches the Rfam family "Bacterial small subunit ribosomal RNA", at positions 524 to 775 of the family's 1533-position model. The record is from RNAcentral.
UACGAAGGGUGCAAGCGUUACUCGGAAUUACUGGGCGUAAAGCGUGCGUAGGUGGUUUGUUAAGUCCGUUGUGAAAGCCCUGGGCUCAACCUGGGAAUGGCAGUGGAUACUGGCAAGCUAGAGUGCGGUAGAGGGUAGUGGAAUUCCCGGUGUAGCAGUGAAAUGCGUAGAGAUCGGGAGGAACACCAGUGGCGAAGGCGGCUACCUGGACCAGCACUGACACUGAGGCACGAAAGCGUGGGGAGCAAACAG